RNAcentral lists this ribosomal RNA (1356 nucleotides) under metagenome. RNAcentral describes it as "bacterial LSU rRNA". It matches the Rfam family "Bacterial large subunit ribosomal RNA", at positions 1551 to 2925 of the family's 2925-position model. The record is from RNAcentral.
UUAUGCUAGGAUGUGAUGGGGAAGCCCUCCUGGGCGAAGUAGCUGAUUUCACACUGUCAAGAAAAGCUUCUAUCGAGUUUAAAGGCGCCCGUACCGUAAACCGACACAGGUGGGUGAGGAGAGUAUCCUAAGGCCAGCGAGAGAACUAUUGUUAAGGAACUCGGCAAAAUGACCCCGUAACUUAGGGAGAAGGGGUGCCUGUCUAUGACAGGCCGCAGAGAAUAGGCCCAAGCGACUGUUUACCAAAAACACAGGUUUCUGCUAAGUCGCAAGACGAUGUAUAGGAGCUGACGCCUGCCCGGUGCUGGAAGGUUAAGGGGAUCUGUUAGAGCAAUCGAAGCAGUGAACUUAAGCCCCAGUAAACGGCGGCCGUAACGAUAACGGUCCUAAGGUAGCGAAAUUCCUUGUCGGGUAAGUUCCGACCCGCACGAAAGGCGUAACGAUUUGGGCACUGUCUCAACAACAGACUCGGUGAAAUUGUAAUCCCGGUGAAGAUGCCGGGUACCUGCGACAGGACGGAAAGACCCCAUGGAGCUUUACUGUAGCUUGACGUUGGGUCUUGGUACUACAUGUACAGGAUAGGUGGGAGACUAUGAAGCAUGGACGCCAGUCUGUGUGGAGUCAUCCUUGGGAUACCACCCUUGUAGUACUGGGAUCCUAACCAUAGGCCUUGAAUCAGGUCUUGGAACACCGUCAGGUGGGCAGUUUGACUGGGGCGGUCGCCUCCUAAAAAGUAACGGAGGCGCUCAAAGGUUUCCUCAGCACGGUCGGAAAUCGUGCGAAGAGUGUAAAGGCAAAAGGAAGCUUGAUUGCAAGACAUACAGGUCGAGCAAGGACGAAAGUCGGACUUAGUGAUCCGGUGGUACCGCAUGGAAGGGCCAUCGCUCAACGGAUAAAAGCUACCCUGGGGAUAACAGGCUUAUCUCCCCCAAGAGUCCACAUCGACGGGGAGGUUUGGCACCUCGAUGUCGGCUCAUCACAUCCUGGGGCUGUAGUAGGUCCCAAGGGUUGGGCUGUUCGCCCAUUAAAGUGGUACGCGAGCUGGGUUCAGAACGUCGUGAGACAGUUCGGUCCCUAUCCGUCGCAGGCGUAGGAAAUUUGAGAAGACCUGUCCUUAGUACGAGAGGACCGGGAUGGACGUACCUCUGGUGUACCAGUUGUUCUGCCAAGGGCAUGGCUGGGUAGCUAUGUACGGAAUGGAUAAGCGCUGAAAGCAUCUAAGCGCGAAGCCAACUUCAAGAUAAGAUUUCCCACCGUAAGGGUAAGACCCCAGGAAGACUACCUGGUUGAUAGGUCGAAGGUGUAAGUGCAGUAAUGUAUUUAGCUUAUCGAUACUAAUAGGUCGAGGACUUGAUC